UGGUAAGGAAUAUGGAUAACUCACUGC
This 27-nucleotide non-coding RNA is filed under the name Homo sapiens (human). Lineage: Eukaryota; Metazoa; Chordata; Mammalia; Primates; Hominidae. The record is from RNAcentral.